GUGGUGUUCUUAAUUUGUGUUUCUAUUCUUGUCCGGGUCAUAGGACCCUUCCUAUGAGACUGCAGGGUGCUGAGGAAGGAGAAGGUGUCCCAGGACGGGGCUCCUGCAGCUCUGGGACGGGGCCUGCACUCACCCACCGACUGGGAGAGUGUGUUCUUCUACACUCCACGUAAACUGCUUCAAGGCCAGGCCCCUGCAUGGCCCUCGACUGAAGGGCUGCUGCUGCUGGAUGCUGGGGAAGCAGCCUCCCUGGCUGCCUUCUGGUGUCUUCCAGUGCCCAGGGCCACGACCAUCACCUCUGUUCCUGCCUUGCAAACAAAAGCAGCCACCCUAGUGUCAAUGUCCCUGCUUCUUGGUGCUCUGAUGAGGACUUAUUUCCUUAGCUAGAGAAAACAGAGGACUUCCCAAGUCCUGAUUUGAGCAACUCCUCUGUUUAAACAGUUCAGGAUAUCCUGCGAAUUUUACUGGUGUGUCCUCAAGUGUUACUAUCAUCCUUGUUUAAAAGGAGCUGUUUCUGACCUGGUGGCUGGAGGAGACGCCUUUUGCCUGCCUCCCCAGCCUGGAGCGGCUGCUGCCGGCUGUGUUUAUUUGGGUUAUGUAACAUAAACAGCUCCAAGGAGAUAGGCUCCUCCGCUCUGGCUUUGAGGCUCAGCCUCCACUUGCCCUCUGCAGAGCUUGCCGCUCGGGUGGUUCCCUCUGCUGUGUCUGCGUUGCUGCCUGAAAACAAAACAGCCCUGUGUGACCUUCUUGGGACCAUCCCUUUCCUCUGGAAGGUCCAGUAGAGAAAGUGAGGGACGCUGAUGAUAAGUGUGACCUCUGGGUCUUGCCUGGGCUGGGACUUGAUGGGUCCUGAGGCAUCUGUGUCUCUGGGCCUCUUCCCUGAGACGUGGUUCCUCUGGUCAGGACCGUCCCUAGGACUUUGGAAGCAUGAUUCUGGGUGGCACGUGGGUCCACAUCCUUCUUUUCAGGGCUGUGUCUGAUGUGUAAGACACACGUGACGUAUAAGGAGAGAAGUUCAAACGGGUGUGGACUGCAGCUCCAUGCCAUCUCCCCACGGACACCGCUUCAGCCUCGCGCAUUCAAAGCCUGGCCUUGCUAAUCAGACCAGCGCCUGGCUUCUCCCCGGUGGCUUCUCAAAACGGAGCUACGGCUGCACAUCUUCCUGCUCCGAGUUUGGCUCGGCCCAUGGCAUUCGAGGCACAGUUGGACUAGAACCCAUUUUUAGUAAAGAACUCUCCCAGGGCUGCCCC
RNAcentral lists this long non-coding RNA (1250 nucleotides) under Marmota monax (woodchuck). The record is from RNAcentral. Lineage: Eukaryota; Metazoa; Chordata; Mammalia; Rodentia; Sciuridae.